UACGUAGGGUGCAAGCGUUAAUCGGAAUUACUGGGCGUAAAGCGUGCGCAGGCGGUUUUGUAAGUCUGAUGUGAAAUCCCCAGGCUCAACCUGGGAACUGCGUCUGAUACUGGCGGGCUAGAGACCGGAAGAGGCGAGUGGAAUUCCUGGUGUAGCGGUGAAAUGCGCAGAUAUCAGGAGGAACACCAAUGGCGAAGGCAGCUCGCUGGGACGUGACUGACGCUGAGACGCGAAAGCGUGGGGAGCAAACAGG
Molecule: ribosomal RNA, 253 nt
Filed under: uncultured bacterium
Lineage: Bacteria
Description: partial 16S ribosomal RNA
Rfam family: Bacterial small subunit ribosomal RNA
Source: RNAcentral